Peromyscus maniculatus bairdii (prairie deer mouse) is the source of this 651-nucleotide non-coding RNA. Lineage: Eukaryota; Metazoa; Chordata; Mammalia; Rodentia; Cricetidae. The record is from RefSeq and is a predicted model, not a curated record.
UAAGAAGUCAAAUGGGGCACUAAUGUUGGUGUACAGAUAUCAAAACAGGGUUAAUAUCAAAUGCAGUCCUGAAGAAUUCUGACAUAGAAGCCAUGCCCAGAUGAGCAACAUACCUGCAGAGCAGCACAGCUGUACUGCUUACUUCAACCAUAUUAAUAAUGCAUUAACUUUCUGAAAUAAGAAGGAUCAUUCACUAAUCAAAGCCAGCAAUAUCACAAUAAACUUUUGUCUUUCUUGGUUAUUAUAAUACCACAAAGAGGAGAGAGAGGUCCAUUCUCCACUGAUGGCUAAUCCCAACCAACCAUAGCUGAUUCUGUGCCUGAGCCCAGUAUGUGGAUCCUGUACUCAUACCAGAAGGAACACAUGGACCUCUUAGGGAUCUGGAAGAGCAUCACCGAGACUAAUUUAGCAGAUAACCAGCUAAUAUAAGUUGAAUUGCUGUUUAUCUAUUUGGAUUCCAUUGACACACCCCAAACACAGCAGCAUCUUAAGCAAAAGGACAGAUGUGCACAUAAAGUGCCUGUUUCCUGGAUUUGAGAGGAGUCUCUGUGGGCUCUGUUUACCUACACAACUUGAAUCUUUCAGAAGAAGUACAAGCAGUAAACCAAUGCAACAUUAUUUUACCCUAUCUCUGAUGCUGGAUUUGGGAGA